RNAcentral lists this ribosomal RNA (953 nucleotides) under uncultured archaeon. RNAcentral's name for it is "bacterial SSU rRNA". It matches the Rfam family "Archaeal small subunit ribosomal RNA", at positions 1 to 923 of the family's 1478-position model. The record is from RNAcentral.
UUCCGGUUGAUCCCGCCGGAGAUCACUGCUAUCAGAGUCCGACUAAGCCAUGCAAAGCUAUUGGUACACAUGAAGGUAAAAACUUCAGGUGUACCAAGCUGUACUGCUGAGUAACACGUAGCUAAUCUAUCCUAGGGAUGGGGAUAAUCUCGGGAAACUGAGAAUAAUCCCCAAUAGGCGAGAAAGGCUGGAAUGCGUUCUCGCCGAAAGAUGUAAGUUAAAGCUUACAUCGCCCUAGGAUGAGGCUGCGGCGGAUUAGGUUGUUGUUUGGGUAACGACCAAACAAGCCUAUAAUCCGUAGGGGUCUUGAGAGAGAUAGCCCCCAGAUGGACUCUGAGACAUGAGUCCAGGCUCUACGGAGCGCAGCAGGCGCGAAACCUUCGCAAUGCCUGAAAGGGCGACGAGGGGACUCUGAGUGCUCUCUACUCUGUAGAGAGCUUUUGUCGAGUGUAAAAAGCUCGACGAAUAAGGGGUGGGCAAGACGGUUGCCAGCCGCCGCGGUAAUAACCGCGCCCCGAGUGGUGAUCACGAUUAUUGGGCCUAAAGCAUCCGUAGCCGGUUCUGUGUGUCUUCAGUGAAAUUCUCUUGUAAACAAGAGAGCUGGCUGAAGAUACUACAGAACUUUGGGGUAGGGAGAGGUCGAGGGUACUCUCGAGGUAGGGGUUAAAUCCGUUAAUCUCGAGGGGACCACCUGUGGCGAAGGCGCUCGACCAGAACUAACCCGACGGUCAUGGAUGAAAGCUAGGGGAGCGAUCGGGAUUAGAUACCCCGGUAGUCCUAGCCGUAAACGAUGCCCACUUGCUGUUGCAAAGCUCUCGGGGCUUUGCAGCGGCGGAGCGAAGGCGUUAAGUGGGCCGCCUGGGGAGUACGGCCGCAAGGCUGAAACUUAAAGGAAUUGGCGGGGGAGCACUACAAGGGGUGAGGCUACGGUUCAAUUGGAUUCAACGCCGGGA